This 149-nucleotide unclassified non-coding RNA is filed under the name uncultured Hypocreales. RNAcentral's name for it is "sequence contains ITS1". Lineage: Eukaryota; Fungi; Ascomycota; Sordariomycetes; Hypocreales. The record is from RNAcentral.
AUGAGUUUCUAAAACUCCCAACCCAUGUGAACAUACCUCUGUUGCCUCGGCGGCCUACCCGGUAGCUACCCUGUAGCUACCCUGUAGUUCGCCGAAGGACAUCAAAACUCUGUUUAAGUAUUAUCUCUGAACAACUUUUAAAUAAGUCA